GUGUGUGUGUGUGUGUGUGUGUGUGUGAUUUAUUUUUUUUUAACCCUUAAGAACACUAAAUGGUCAUUGAUGGUGCUUUGAUGAACAUGUUUUGGUAAGACAGAAUCUUUCUAGUCAUCCAAAUAUAGUCCAAACGACACUGACACGACAAGAGAGCUGGAGGUCGGGUGGACUAGAGUUGACUGAUCGAUGUGGUUGGUGGUGGGAGUUCACAACGUUCCCGUCUUGGAAUGCCACACAGUACUAAGGAGAUUAUGGGGAGACACAAAUCUAUGAUCUUAAUUUGGAAUUACAUUUCCCAAUAAGCCUGAUUCAGGCCACCCAAGGAAGUGAUCCAAGAAACAAGGUACUGAAAAUUGCUUUUAAAACACUGGGUUUAAUAUUUUUUGUUUUAAUUACAUUUUUGUGUGUUCGGAUUGCCGUCCCAAUUAGCAGCUGAGUGUGAAGCAGAUACUUCAAGGCGAAUUAGGACCAGAUUCAUCUCCUCUCAUCAGCUGCUGGCCCAGACUCACCUUUGGCCUGGACUACUGACUGAAUGAAUGAAUGAGUGAGUGUGUGUGUGUGUGUGUGUGUGUGUGUGUGUGUGUGUGUGUGUGUGUGUGUGUGAGUGUGUAAGAGUAAGCGAGUGAGUGUUUAUGAGUGAGUGAGUGAAUGAAUGAAUGAGUGAAUGUGUAUGAGUGAGUGUGUAUAAAUUAAUGAAUGAGUGAAUGUGUAUGAGUGAGUGAGUGAGUGAGUGAGUGAGUGAGUGAGUGUGUGUGUGUGUGUGUGUGUGUGUGUGUGUGUGUGUGAGUGAGUGAGUGUGUAUCAGUGAGUGUGUAUCAGUGAGUAUGGAGUGAAUGAGUGAGUGUGUGAGUGAGUGAGUGUGGACUGAGUGUUGCACAGAUUCACUUUUAUUAACAAAUUUCACGGAAGUUUGCACUGAUUGACCGUGUCCUUAUGAUAUUGUUUUGUUUAUUUGUUGCUUUUAUUGUUGUCUCAAAACGGUCAGUGCCCGUGUACAUGAUCCCCCGCAUCUCACUGUGCUGUUCUCUCCCCCUGAGUCCCAGACUGGAUGGACUUCUGUAAAACAAUGAAGGCAAAGCACUCCAGCAGGUGUGACGGGACAGGUGCACUCUAGCAGGUGUGACGUGACAGGUGCACUCUAGAAGGUGUGACGUGACAGGUGCACUCUAGCAGGUGUGACGGGACAGGUGCACUCUAGCAGGUGUGACGUGACAGGUGCCGCAGCUCUGAACAAAGUCUACCUUCAACACAUUUCAACACAAUACACAACACUAUCUUGCAGACCCACAUACACACAGAUAAAUGUGCAUUUCUGUGGGAACUUGUCCCAGUACGACAUCGAGCCAUGUUAAGAUUCAGCACCCAGCAAAGGGAGUGGUGUUCUGAGAAGCAUUUGUGGCGUAUGAUAUGAGAGAACUGCCGCAUCUGUUACAUAGUGUAUUCACCUGCUCACACACACACACGCACACUCACUCACAAUCGACACGCACACUCACUCACAUACGCACACACACUCCACCCUUUACAGGACUGACUCUGCCUUUACCCCCAAAAAUAAAAUAAAAUUCUCUUAUGAAUCUAUGCUACUGUGAAAUGAUGGUUUUCUGUUUUUUUGUCAUCAAAGAUAUAAGCAAGAGCCAAAACAGAUAUGUGUAUGUGUACACAGGCAUUUGUAUAGGCAGUAUGCUAUCAAAUGUUAAGGAGUAAGUAUUCAUAGACUGUAAAAUCCCAAUAGGUAUGAGUUGACCGCAACUGCAAUGUUUCACCACUAGGGGGAGAAGUUGUCAAGCAGAUUGUUUGUACAGCGUCAAAGUGAAGGCUUCCAAAAAACCUCUUCCCUCAGGCUUUGGGUUGCCUUCUGUCCAAAUGCUUCCAACUAGCCAUUAAAUUCCCCCCCAAGCUUAUUAUGUAAUUAUGUGAAUAAUUUAGGAUUUGGAAUCAAAUCUAGGCCACAUGCUCUGGUAAAUGUGGUUAAUAUAAUUAGAUUUUGCUUUGCAUGCAUUGUCACUAUCCUUGGAGUAACUCUAACUGACAUGCAGGCCAGGUUCAGGCCAGUUCACUGCCUUCUCAGUAGAAAUCCAACUGAAAACUGAGCUGAGAAAGCCAGCACUAGACUAUAUAAUGAGUCCGUUCGAAACAGAAGUUUGCUGCCUUGUUGCUGUAAUAGACAGGUGUAUCAUAAGGCUUAAUACGGCAGACCCAGUGGGUCCGAUCGAACCAGAAGGUUGCUGCCUUGAUGCCUCACUGUCGUGUUAGACACCCCACUGAGACAGCAUGUUACCGUUUGGAAGGGACCCAGUGACCACAGGAGAGUUGAAGGGGCCCAGUGACCACAGGAGAGAUGAAGGGGCCCAGUGACCACAGGAGAGAUGAAGGGACUACAGGAGAGAUGAAGGGACCCAGUGACUAAGGGGCCCAGUGACCACAGGAGAGUUGAAGGGACCCAGUGACCACAGGAGAGUUGAAGGGACCACAGGAGAGAUGAAGGGACUACAGGAGAGAUGAAGGGACUACAGGAGAGUUGAAAGGGUCCAGUGACCACAGGAGAGAUGAAGGGACCACAGGAGAGUUGAAGGGACCCAGUGACCACAGGAGAGAUGAAGGGACUACAGGAGAGUUGAAGGGGCCCAGUGACCACAGGAGAGAUGAAGGGACCACAGGAGAGAUGAAGGGACUACAGGAGAGUUGAAGGGACCACAGGAGAGUUGAAGGGGCCCAGUGACCACAGGAGAGUUGAAGGGACCCAGUGACCACAGGAGAGUUGAAGGGGCCCAGUGACCACAGGAGAGUUGAAGGGGCCCAGUGACCACAGGAGAGUUGAAGGGGCCCAGUGACCACAGGAGAGUUGAAGGGACCACAGGAGAGUUGAAGGGACCCAGUGACUAAGGGGCCCAGUGACCACAGGAGAGUUGAAGGGACCACAGGAGAGAUGAAGGGGCCCAGUGACCACAGGAGAGAUGAAGGGACCACAGGAGAGAUGAAGGUUGAAGGGGCCCAGUGACCACAGGAGAGAUGAAGGGGCCCAGUGACCACAGGAGAGUUGAAGGGGCCCAGUGACUACAGGAGAGAUGAAGGGGCCCAGUGACUACAGGAGAGUUGAAGGGACCACAGGAGAGAUGAAGGGGCCACAGGAGAGUUGAAGGGACCACAGGAGAGUUGAAGGUUGAAGGGGCCCAGUGACUACAGGAGAGAUGCAGUUAGGACAUGCUGAAGAGGAAGUCCACGCGUAAAUAUCACAUGGGUAGAAGCCGUGGAUAGGUGAUCGGUUUGGCUUUACACUGCCUAUAAACACUGCAGGAGCAGGAUCCCAUUGAUUGAUUGAUUGAUUGAUUCGUGGGUCUGCGGAUCACUUUUUAUUAUUAAUAAUCAAACAAUAAUAAUUUAUUUAAAUGUAUUAUUAUUCAGCACUUAGUACAAUAGCCUUGUAACAAAGGGCUUUUAUUUUUACGCAAAUUAAAAUGAACUAUUCUGCAUUUCAAGAGCUGAUCUGCAUUGGUGUGUAUGUAGUUCAUAAACAAGCUAGAUACUGGUUAGUCAGCUGAAUAAUGAAGAAAGAAUGAAAACAAGAGGAGGAAGUUCUUCAAAAAAAGGGUUCUUUAUUACUCCACAGCCCACGAGGAAGAGUAAUACAUUCAGAGAGUUCUAAAGCGCCAACAGACUUCUUUGGCUCCGGCAAUGAUUGACAUAUCAUGACACGACAGGAAUCACCACACACACA
This is a long non-coding RNA of Clupea harengus (Atlantic herring), 3721 nucleotides long. Lineage: Eukaryota; Metazoa; Chordata; Actinopteri; Clupeiformes; Clupeidae. The record is from Ensembl.